RNAcentral lists this small RNA (107 nucleotides) under Marmota monax (woodchuck). The record is from RNAcentral. Lineage: Eukaryota; Metazoa; Chordata; Mammalia; Rodentia; Sciuridae.
GCUGGGCAUGGCAGCACAUGCCUGUAAUCCUAGCACCUCAGAAGGCUGAGGCAGGAGGAUUACAAGUUCAAGACUAGCCUGGGCAACCUAGCAAGACCCUGUCUUAA